This 253-nucleotide ribosomal RNA is filed under the name uncultured bacterium. RNAcentral describes it as "partial 16S ribosomal RNA". It matches the Rfam family "Bacterial small subunit ribosomal RNA", at positions 524 to 776 of the family's 1533-position model. The record is from RNAcentral.
UACGUAGGGGGCAAGCGUUGUCCGGAAUUAUUGGGCGUAAAGAGCGCGUAGGCGGUCCGGUAAGUCGGCUGUGAAAGUCAAGGGCUCAACCCUUGAAAGCCGGCCGAUACUGUCGGACUAGAGUCCGGAAGAGGCGAGUGGAAUUCCCGGUGUAGCGGUGAAAUGCGCAGAUAUCAGGAAGAACACCAAUGGCGAAGGCAGCUCUCUGGGACGGUACUGACGCUGAGACGCGAAAGCGUGGGGAGCGAACAGG